UACAGAGGGUGCGAGCGUUAAUCGGAAUUACUGGGCGUAAAGCGCGCGUAGGCGGCUUUUUAAGUCGAUUGUGAAAUCCCCGGGCUUAACCUGGGAACUGCAGUCGAGACUGUCUAGCUAGAGUAUGGGAGAGGGAAGUGGAAUUUCAGGUGUAGCGGUGAAAUGCGUAGAUAUCUGAAGGAACAUCAGUGGCGAAAGCGACUUCCUGGACCAAUACUGACGCUCAUGUGCGAAAGCGUGGGGAGCAAACAGG
RNAcentral lists this ribosomal RNA (253 nucleotides) under uncultured bacterium. Its description in RNAcentral is "partial 16S ribosomal RNA". It matches the Rfam family "Bacterial small subunit ribosomal RNA", at positions 524 to 776 of the family's 1533-position model. The record is from RNAcentral.